UGUGUAAUGGUUUGGAUAAGAAUGGGCCCCCAAGGGCUGGAGAGAUGGCUCAGCUGUUAAAGGCUAGGCUCACAUCCAAAAAUAUA
This 86-nucleotide microRNA precursor is filed under the name Mesocricetus auratus (golden hamster). RNAcentral describes it as "miRNA (ENSMAUG00000004392.1)". The record is from RNAcentral. Lineage: Eukaryota; Metazoa; Chordata; Mammalia; Rodentia; Cricetidae.